GGAAAUUUCGGAGGGAACCAGCUACUAGAUGAUUCGAUUAGUCUUUCGCCCCUAUACUCAAUUUUUACGACCGAUUUGCACGUCAGGACCGCUACGAGCCUCCACCACCGUUUCCGGUGGCUUCACCCUAAUCAAGCAUAGUUCACCAUCUUUCGGGUCCCAGCAUUUAUGCUCACACUCAGACCUUUCAACCGAAGUUUUGUGGCCGGCGGAUGAUGCAAAAAAAUAUCACCACUGUUACUUUCAUUACGCGUAUGAUGUUAAAAAUCAGACACUCGCACAGAUGCUAGACUCCUUGGUCCGUGUUUCAAGACGGGGUGUACAAAAACAUUUCGACAACAACACGAAGACUAGCCUCAAUCCAGACCAAAACGAGACAAGCUGGUAAUCCACGAAAAGACGUGUGCCUCCCAGCCAUACUUAUGCUUCGAUCCAAACCCUUGUUGACAAACUCUGCAUCACAGCGCCUCAAUGACAAGUCAGUGAGGAAAGAUGAUACAGCGAAACACUGUUUUUGUACGCUUCCCUUUCAACGAUUUCGAGUACUCUUUAACUCUCUUUUCAAAGUUCUUUGCAACUUUCAUUCACAUUACUUGUUCGCUAUCGGUUUCCCACCAAUAUUUAGUUUUAUGACAAAUUUACGUCACACUUUGAUCAGCAAUCCCAAGCUAAUCGACUCGUCGAAGGUGUAUGCCAUGGACAAGAACUUUAAACAUGAACGGUGGUCUCAACCUCUUCGCCUAUACGUUCCAGUAUAAUUAGUAAAAAGCCUCGUCCGACACAUCUUCUAUAGGCCACAACUCGGUACUAGGUACCGAUUCACAGGCUGAACUAGAUCCAGUUUCACUCGCCGUUACUAAUGGAAUCAUUGUUAUUUUCUUUUCCUCCGCUUAAUUAUAUGCUUAAAUUCGGCGGGUAAUCUUACCAAGCUGAGAUUCGAUUGUAGAACUAAUGAUUCAACACAGCUUUCACUGUAGUAAAUCACGCCACAGGAAUGCGGGUGGGUCUUGCUCAGAAGGCACAACAUAAUCCUAUUUGCAGAUAGCAAAUUUACCAUAUGUCGGCUCCUUUAACACAAGACACACUUGCUUUCCAGACGCAAGGUGCAAUGCACAAGGCAUAGCCACUCACUUUAGCUAUGCUGUAAGCCUAGGCCACAGCAAAGCCACAAUCAGACACUCAAAAAAGAGGUCUAGUGGGGUUCACGAACACUCAACACGGCAUGAUACCAGGAAUGUCCCGGUAUCGCAAGGUGCGUUCAAAAUUUUGAUGAUUCACGAGGUCCUGCAAUUCGCAUUACGUAUCGCAUUUCGCUGCGUUCUUCAUCGUUGUGGGAACCAAGUUGUCCAUCGUUGAAAGUUGUUUUUCAUUAAUAGAUUAGCAAGGAAUGUCCAGCGACGCAAAAGCAUCAAGCCAGCCAUAUCCUUGUUUUGGAUUCAGUUAAUUGUUUUAUUAGGUAUUGGGCGGCGAGGCACCGAAGUGCCCCGCCUGAGGCUUUCGCCUCUUGUUUUUUUGUAAAAUAAUCACAGGUACCACCACAAUGUGCCAUGAUAGACAAUUUGUAGUGAUGCACUGCUUGUUCUCGGGAGUUUAGAUCGGAGAUCUGAUGUGAUAAUGAUCCCUCCGCAGGUUCACCUACGGAGACCUUGUUACGACUUCACCUUCCUCUAAAAAACAAGGUUCAGAAAGGUUCUCACGGCAAUGUCCAAUAAAGGACAACGCUACGAUCUCGAUUCUUCACCGGGCUUUUCAAUCGGUAGGUGCGACGGGCGGUGUGUACAAAGGGCAGGGACGUAAUCAAUGCAUUUUGAUGAAAUGCGUUUACUAGGAAUUCCUCGUUCACGAUAACAAUUGCAGCUAUCGAUCCCUUUCAAGGCACACUUUAGAAGAUUUCCCAGACCUCUCGGGCAAGGAUAAGCUCGUUGAAUGUGCCAUUGUAACACGCGUGCGGUUCAGAACAUCUAAGGGCAUCACAGACCUGUUAUCGCCCUCAUCUUCCUGUAGCUUAAUGCUACAUGUCCCUCUAAGAAACCGUAAUCUAUCAAAUUGAUAAAAUCGAUUAUUUAGCAGGCGAGGGUCUCGUUCGUUAACGGAAUAAACCAGACAAAUCACUCCACCAACUAAGAACGGCCAUGCACCACCUCCCAAAGAAUCAAGAAAGAGCUCUCAAUCUGUCAAUCCUCACUUUGUCUGGACCUGAUAAGUUUUCCCGUGUUGAGUCAAAUUAAGCCGCAGGUUCCACUCCUGGUGGUGCCCUUCCGUCAAUUUCUUUAAGUUUCAGCCUUGCGACCAUACUCCCCCCGGAACCCAAAGACUUUGAUUUCUCCUACAGUUCAGUCUAUCGUUAAAUCGACAGACCACCCUGAGUCGGCAUAGUUUAUGGUAUAGACUACGAUGGUAUCUAAUCAUCUUCGAUCCCCAUACUUUCGUUCUUGAUUAAUGAAAACAUCCUUGGUAAAUGCUUUCGCAGUCGUUCGUCUUACGAUAAUCUAAGAAUUUCACCUCUGACAUCAUAAUACGAAU
Molecule: ribosomal RNA, 2523 nt
Filed under: Chaetoceros debilis
Lineage: Eukaryota; Bacillariophyta; Thalassiosirophyceae; Chaetocerotales; Chaetocerotaceae
Description: partial Eukaryotic large subunit ribosomal RNA
Source: RNAcentral